UACAGAGGGUGCGAGCGUUAAUCGGAAUUACUGGGCGUAAAGCGUGCGUAGACGGCUAUCUAAGUCGGGUGUGAAAGCCCCAGGCUCAACCUGGGAAUUGCAUUCGAGACUGAAUAGCUAGGGUACGGUAGAAAAAAGCGGAAUUUCCGAUGUAGCGGUGAAAUGCGUAGAUAUCGGGAGGAACACCUGUGGCGAAAGCGGCUCACUGGACCACAACUGACGCUGAGGCGCGAAAGCUAGGGGAGCAAACAGG
RNAcentral lists this ribosomal RNA (253 nucleotides) under uncultured bacterium. Its description in RNAcentral is "partial 16S ribosomal RNA". It matches the Rfam family "Bacterial small subunit ribosomal RNA", at positions 524 to 776 of the family's 1533-position model. The record is from RNAcentral.